ACAACAACAAGAAAUCAAUGAAGUCAGAGAUAAAGUUAUUAAU
Molecule: non-coding RNA, 43 nt
Filed under: Trypanosoma brucei brucei
Lineage: Eukaryota; Euglenozoa; Kinetoplastea; Trypanosomatida; Trypanosomatidae
Source: RNAcentral